UUAGGAUGAACGCUAGCUACAGGCUUAACACAUGCAAGUCGAUGGGCAGCAUGGUCUUAGCUUGCUAAGGCCGAUGGCGACCGGCGCACGGGUGAGUAACACGUAUCCAACCUGCCGUCUACUCUUGGACAGCCUUCUGAAAGGAAGAUUAAUACAAGAUGGCAUCAUGAGUCCACAUGUUCACAUGAUUAAAGGUAUUCCGGUAGACGAUGGGGAUGCGUUCCAUUAGAUAGUAGGCGGGGUAACGGCCCACCUAGUCUUCGAUGGAUAGGGGUUCUGAGAGGAAGGUCCCCCACAUUGGAAUUGAGACACGGUCCAAACUCCUACGGGAGGCAGCAGUGAGGAAUAUUGGUCAAUGGGCGAGAGCCUGAACCAGCCAAGUAGCGUGAAGGAUGGCUGCCCUAUGGGUUGUAAACUUCUUUUAUAAAGGAAUAAAGUCGGGUAUGCAUACCCGUUUGCAUGUACUUUAUGAAUAAGGAUCGGCUAACUCCGUGCCAGCAGCCGCGGUAAUACGGAGGAUCCGAGCGUUAUCCGGAUUUAUUGGGUUUAAAGGGAGCGUAGAUGGAUGUUUAAGUCAGUUGUGAAAGUUUGCGGCUCAACCGUAAAAUUGCAGUUGAUACUGGAUAUCUUGAGUGCAGUUGAGGCAGGCGGAAUUCGUGGUGUAGCGGUGAAAUGCUUAGAUAUCACGAAGAACUCCGAUUGCGAAGGCAGCCUGCUAAGCUGCAACUGACAUUGAGGCUCGAAAGUGUGGGUAUCAAACAGGAUUAGAUACCCUGGUAGUCCACACGGUAAACGAUGAAUACUCGCUGUUUGCGAUAUACUGCAAGCGGCCAAGCGAAAGCGUUAAGUAUUCCACCUGGGGAGUACGCCGGCAACGGUGAAACUCAAAGGAAUUGACGGGGGCCCGCACAAGCGGAGGAACAUGUGGUUUAAUUCGAUGAUACGCGAGGAACCUUACCCGGGCUUAAAUUGCAGAUGAAUUACGGUGAAAGCCGUAAGCCGCAAGGCAUCUGUGAAGGUGCUGCAUGGUUGUCGUCAGCUCGUGCCGUGAGGUGUCGGCUUAAGUGCCAUAACGAGCGCAACCCUUGUUGUCAGUUACUAACAGGUUCUGCUGAGGACUCUGACAAGACUGCCAUCGUAAGAUGUGAGGAAGGUGGGGAUGACGUCAAAUCAGCACGGCCCUUACGUCCGGGGCUACACACGUGUUACAAUGGGGGGUACAGAGGGCCGCUACCACGCGAGUGGAUGCCAAUCCCAAAAACCUCUCUCAGUUCGGACUGGAGUCUGCAACCCGACUCCACGAAGCUGGAUUCGCUAGUAAUCGCGCAUCAGCCACGGCGCGGUGAAUACGUUCCCGGGCCUUGUACACACCGCCCGUCAAGCCAUGGGAGCCGGGGGUACCUGAAGUGCGUAACCGCGAGGAGCGCCCUAGGGUAAAACUG
RNAcentral lists this ribosomal RNA (1442 nucleotides) under uncultured organism. RNAcentral's name for it is "SSU rRNA". It matches the Rfam family "Bacterial small subunit ribosomal RNA". The record is from RNAcentral.